GAUGAACGCUGGCGGCGUGCUUAACACAUGCAAGUCGAACGGAAAGGCUCCUGCUUGCAGGGGUACUCGAGUGGCGAACGGGUGAGUAACACGUGGGUGAUCUGCCCUGCACUUCGGGAUAAGCCUGGGAAACUGGGUCUAAUACCGGAUAGGACCACAUUUUGGCUGGUGUGGUGGAAAGUUUUUCGGUGUGGGAUGAGCUCGCGGCCUAUCAGCUUGUUGGUGGGGUAAUGGCCUACCAAGGCGUCGACGGGUAGCCGGCCUGAGAGGGUGUACGGCCACAUUGGGACUGAGAUACGGCCCAGACUCCUACGGGAGGCAGCAGUGGGGAAUAUUGCACAAUGGGCGCAAGCCUGAUGCAGCGACGCCGCGUGGGGGAUGACGGCCUUCGGGUUGUAAACUCCUUUCGCUAGGGACGAAGCGCAAGUGACGGUACCUGGAGAAGAAGCACCGGCUAACUACGUG
RNAcentral lists this ribosomal RNA (465 nucleotides) under uncultured bacterium. RNAcentral describes it as "partial 16S ribosomal RNA". It matches the Rfam family "Bacterial small subunit ribosomal RNA", at positions 28 to 507 of the family's 1533-position model. The record is from RNAcentral.